UAUACAAUAAAUCAAUAAUAUCACAUGAAUUGCUGUUAUUUUUUUACAGUAAAACUACCAUGAUUUUAAAACCUAGGUGUUAAAUAUUUAAUUAAAAAAGUCACAAACCCAUGUGUCGUUUUAAAAGUAAUUUCUGAUAUAAAGGAAACAAUAAGAUACUGGGGACCAAGUUACAGUCAAGUGUUUUUUUUUUUAUUUCAAAACAAAUUUUGAAUCAUUCUAUUUUUAUUUUACUCUUAGAAAUUGCAUUUACCCAGAUGUAAUUGUUCAAACUAGAUGACUCAUUAUUAUGUGCACACGUAAUGGCGUAUUAGCAUAACAGAACUAUUUCUCACUCAAAACUGUGUAAAGUUACGAGACAGUUUUUUACUAUAAUUAUUCAACAGCGUGAACUUAAUUAUAGUGAUAAUUAUUGUAUUAUAUUUAGUAUGUUAUUCAAAAUAUGGGAAAAAUAUACUGAAACUUGCUAAAUUGUUUUCUAUGUUAAAGUUAUAAUAUUAAAGUUUAUCUCGAAUUGUGCUAUACUCACCUGCCGCGAUAAAACUUAGCUAAAAGGACAGCCAUCUUCCAAGUUUAGUUGUAUCCAACCAGGUCGACCGACCAUGAUUCGCAGAGUUGGUUAGGAAUACAGAGUGAAACUUCUGUAAAGGUUCCUAACCUUUUUGAUUGUAUACUAUACAGUCUAAUUUAUCUGAUAUGAGAGGAAUAUGUUGAACAUUUUCAUUGCGUACAAAUUGUUAAUUCAAAAUUUCUGGUUUGUUUGGAGAUAAUAAAAUUACUUGAAAAUUUAUCUUUACCUGAAUAGCAGAUUUGAAAAUUCUGGGUCAGUUUUUUUAUUCAGUCCUCAAAACUGAAAACAUCUUUCAAUAGAACAAGUAUUAACACCUUUGAAAAGCCAUUAUCGGUUCACUAUGUCACCAAUAGAUAUCUCUAUAGCUGAACGACAUUUUACACUGAAAUUAAUCCAUGGAUAUCAAAGCCAAACGUCGGUAAGGAUUAAAACAAAUAAGUGCAUAGUGCAUAAUAUGUCUGUACCGUUAUUAUUAUACCAUGACUAACCACCUAGGUACAUACUAUACUAUAGUCAUUAAUACUAGAAGCAUCGAUUUUCCGUAAAAAAGAAACCCAAGUAUCAAAUAUUAACAAUUAUUAUUUUAAUAUUAUCUCGUAAAAACCAUAUUA
Molecule: long non-coding RNA, 1182 nt
Organism: Acyrthosiphon pisum (pea aphid)
Lineage: Eukaryota; Metazoa; Arthropoda; Insecta; Hemiptera; Aphididae
Exons: 3
Source: RefSeq, a predicted model, not a curated record